This 253-nucleotide ribosomal RNA is filed under the name uncultured bacterium. Its description in RNAcentral is "partial 16S ribosomal RNA". It matches the Rfam family "Bacterial small subunit ribosomal RNA", at positions 524 to 776 of the family's 1533-position model. The record is from RNAcentral.
UACGGAGGGUGCAAGCGUUAUCCGGAAUCACUGGGUUUAAAGGGGGCGUAGGCGGCUUGAUAAGUCAGGGGUGAAAGCCCGCAGCUUAACUGCGGAACUGGCUUUGAUACUGUCGAGCUUGAAAGAGGUUGAGGUCAGCGGAACGUGACAUGUAGCGGUGAAAUGCAUAGAUAUGUCACAGAACACCGAUUGCGAAGGCAGCUGGCUGGACCUACUUUGACGCUGAGGCACGAAAGCGUGGGGAACGAACAGG